This 377-nucleotide ribosomal RNA is filed under the name uncultured bacterium. Its description in RNAcentral is "bacterial SSU rRNA". It matches the Rfam family "Bacterial small subunit ribosomal RNA", at positions 523 to 898 of the family's 1533-position model. The record is from RNAcentral.
AUACGUAGGUGGCAAGCGUUGUCCGGAAUUAUUGGGCGUAAAGCGCGCGCAGGCGGUCCUUUAAGUCUGAUGUGAAAUCACGUGGCUUAACCACGUGCGGUCAUUGGAAACUGGAGGACUUGAGUGCAGAAGAGGAAAGUGGAAUUCCAAGUGUAGCGGUGAAAUGCGUAGAGAUUUGGAGGAACACCAGUGGCGAAGGCGACUUUCUGGUCUGUAACUGACGCUGAGGCGCGAAAGCAUGGGGAGCGAACAGGAUUAGAUACCCUGGUAGUCCACGCCGUAAACGAUGAGUGCUAAGUGUUAGGGGGUUUCCGCCCCUUAGUGCUGCAGCAAACGCAUUAAGCACUCCGCCUGGGGAGUACGGUCGCAAGACUGAA